This 202-nucleotide ribosomal RNA is filed under the name uncultured bacterium. RNAcentral describes it as "partial 16S ribosomal RNA". It matches the Rfam family "Bacterial small subunit ribosomal RNA", at positions 524 to 726 of the family's 1533-position model. The record is from RNAcentral.
UACGGAGGGUGCGAGCGUUAUCCGGGAUUCACUGGGUUUAAAGGGUGCGUAGGUGGGCAGGUAAGUCAGUGGUGAAAUCUCCGGGCUUAACCCGGAAACUGCCAUUGAUACUAUCAGUCUUGAAUACCGUGGAGGUAAGCGGAAUAUGUCAUGUAGCGGUGAAAUGCUUAGAUAUGACAUAGAACACCAAUGCGAAGCAGCU